Molecule: ribosomal RNA, 680 nt
Filed under: uncultured soil bacterium
Lineage: Bacteria
Description: bacterial SSU rRNA
Rfam family: Bacterial small subunit ribosomal RNA
Source: RNAcentral
UGGCGGCAGGCCUAACACAUGCAAGUCGAACGCUCGUAGCAAUACGAGAGUGGCAGACGGGUGAGUAACGCGUGGGAACCUUCCCAGUGGUACGGAAUAGCUCAGGGAAACUUGAGGUAAUACCGUAUACGCCCCUAGGGGGAAAGAUUUAUCGCCAUUGGAUGGGCCCGCGUCGGAUUAGCUAGUUGGUGAGGUAACGGCUCACCAAGGCGACGAUCCGUAGCUGGUUUGAGAGAAUGACCAGCCACACUGGGACUGAGACACGGCCCAGACUCCUACGGGAGGCAGCAGUGGGGAAUCUUGGACAAUGGGCGCAAGCCUGAUCCAGCCAUGCCGCGUGAGUGACGAAGGCCUUAGGGUUGUAAAGCUCUUUUGGCGGGGACGAUAAUGACGGUACCCGCAGAAUAAGUCCCGGCUAACUUCGUGCCAGCAGCCGCGGUAAUACGAAGGGGACUAGCGUUGUUCGGAAUUACUGGGCGUAAAGCGCACGUAGGCGGAUUUGUAAGUCAGGGGUGAAAUCCCGGGGCUCAACCUCGGAACUGCCUUUGAUACUGCAAGUCUCGAGUCCGAUAGAGGUGGGCGGAAUUCCUAGUGUAGAGGUGAAAUUCGUAGAUAUUAGGAAGAACACCGGUGGCGAAGGCGGCCCACUGGAUCGGUACUGACGCUGAGGUGCGAAAGCG